This 216-nucleotide ribosomal RNA is filed under the name uncultured bacterium. RNAcentral's name for it is "partial 16S ribosomal RNA". It matches the Rfam family "Bacterial small subunit ribosomal RNA", at positions 1285 to 1500 of the family's 1533-position model. The record is from RNAcentral.
UACUCAGUUCGGAUUGUAGGCUGCAACCCGCCUACAUGAAGUUGGAAUUGCUAGUAAUCGCGGAUCAGCAUGCCGCGGUGAAUACGUUCCCGGGUCUUGUACACACCGCCCGUCACACCAUGGGAGUCAGCAACGCCCGAAGCCGGUGACCCAACCGAAAGGAGGGAGCCGUCGAAGGUGGGGCCGAUAACUGGGGUGAAGUCGUAACAAGGUAAC